Panicum virgatum (switchgrass) is the source of this 852-nucleotide long non-coding RNA. RefSeq lists it as uncharacterized. Lineage: Eukaryota; Viridiplantae; Streptophyta; Magnoliopsida; Poales; Poaceae. The transcript has 3 exons. The record is from RefSeq and is a predicted model, not a curated record.
AUACCCGACGAUGCCCCGUCCGUCCCUCGCCGCCGAGGAGGCGGCGCAUCUCACACCUGACGACGCAAGACCCCGGGAGGAGGGCAGGUACGGUCCCCCCUCACCCCCAUCCCCCACGGCCCAUGCUCGCCACCGGGGAGGCAUCAGUGGCGGCAGAUCUAGCCCCCGCCCUUCGUUCGCCGGCGCGGAGGAGGGAUGGCAGGCGACUUGUCCCUUCGUUCGCCGGCGUUGGGGGCGAAGGGGCGGCGCCUCACAGUGAUGGCUCCACCCGCCGGCCACCGGCGCUACUGUGGGCCGAGGGGUGCUCAUGCCACCGGCUGCGACCGCCCGUCACCUCCCGCCGGCGGCCACCGCGGUAGGCACGCGGCCAGGGGCCAACGCCCGGACGGCCACUGGCGACAAGGGCAAGGAGCAGGGGGGCACCCCGCAUCACAUCCCAAUUCGAGCGAUCAAAAUUCCCGAUGAUUAGAUGAACUGUGUCAUUAUAAAGAUUGCUGGACUUGUACGAAAUAAGGCUGCAGGAAUAAAAAACUUUUUUUCCUUUUUUGCUGCACAUGGAUUCAUAUGGUGAAAAGAAUACUCACACGGCCUCUUGAUGUGUUCUUCUGUCCUGGCGUGGUGGCUCAAACCUAGUGGUCCUAUUUGUAGUCUGCACAUGUGGAGGCUGUAAUUUUUUUGCCGUCAAACUGAGUCUACUCAAGAAUUCAUUCAUAUUGAUCUUGUAAUCCAAUGUAAAAGCUCACUUACAGAUGAUGUACUUCUUUCUGAUCUGUUUCAUGCGCCUGUGUGUCUGCUGCUUGCAUUGGCACGCCUGUUUCUUGCAUCUUCAAGUAAUAAUGCUUUAAUCUUGCA